This 476-nucleotide ribosomal RNA is filed under the name uncultured bacterium. RNAcentral's name for it is "bacterial SSU rRNA". It matches the Rfam family "Bacterial small subunit ribosomal RNA", at positions 30 to 504 of the family's 1533-position model. The record is from RNAcentral.
UGAACGCUAGCGGCAGGCUUAAUACAUGCAAGUCGAACGGUAAGGUCCCGCUUGCGGGACACACGAGUGGCGCACGGGUGCGUAACGCGUAUGCAACCUACCUUCAACUGGAGAAUAGCCCCGAGAAAUCGGGAUUAAUACUUCAUAAUAUCUACAGAUCGCAUGGUCAGUAGAUUAAAGCUCCGGCGGUUGAAGAUGGGCAUGCGUGACAUUAGUUUGUUGGUGAGGUAACGGCUCACCAAGACUACGAUGUCUAGGGGUCCUGAGAGGGUUAUCCCCCACACUGGUACUGAGACACGGACCAGACUCCUACGGGAGGCAGCAGUAAGGAAUAUUGGGCAAUGGACGAAAGUCUGACCCAGCCAUGCCGCGUGCAGGAUGACAGCCCUACGGGUUGUAAACUGCUUUUAUACGGGAAAAAAUCUCCGAUGUAUCGGGGUGUGAUGGUACCGUAUGAAUAAGCAUCGGCUAACUCC